UAGCCGUAAACGAUACUCGCUAGGUGUCGGCCACGGUGCGACCGUUGUCGGUGCCGUAGGGAAGCCGUGAAGCGAGCCACCUGGGAAGUACGGCCGCAAGGCUGAAACUUAAAGGAAUUGGCGGGGGAGCACCACAACGGGUGGAGCUUGCGGUUUAAUUGGAUUCAACGCCGGAAAUCUUACCGGGACCGACAGCAAUAUGAAGGCCAGGCUGAAGACUUUGCCGGAUAGCUGAGAGGAGGUGCAUGGCGUAGACGUCU
RNAcentral lists this ribosomal RNA (260 nucleotides) under uncultured archaeon. RNAcentral's name for it is "partial 16S ribosomal RNA". It matches the Rfam family "Archaeal small subunit ribosomal RNA", at positions 748 to 1009 of the family's 1478-position model. The record is from RNAcentral.